This 852-nucleotide long non-coding RNA is filed under the name Sorghum bicolor (sorghum). RNAcentral's name for it is "long non-coding RNA (SBIC_LNC015119)". The record is from RNAcentral. Lineage: Eukaryota; Viridiplantae; Streptophyta; Magnoliopsida; Poales; Poaceae.
GUUCCUCACUCAUAUAUAUGGUGAUUACAAGUGCAUAGACAAUCAGAUAGUAUCUCCCGAGAAUUCACACGGACUCACAAACCUUAUCUAUCUAUAUAUAAAACAGAAGGUAAAAAGGGAGCAGGAAGCCAGUAGUAUUUCUAACACUCUGCCUGUAGCUCCAGCAGUGACGAGCUUAGAUUGCUACAGAAUUAUGUAUAGGAGUCGGAAGCAUCAGGAACAUCUAUAUUACUUGUCCACUUACUGCUUUCUGGACCAAAGGGGUAUCUUGUGGUUCCACAAGAGGCACAAGCUCUCCAGUACAUUCUUGCCAUGGUGGAUGUGUCUCUAUGUGCCCAUUGCAGUGGCACCGUGUGCGUGGGUCACUCUCUGGAUGUGUGUCAUAGCCAGUGACUAUUCGGGCAGCUCCAUGUGCUGCUGCGUAACACAGUGAUCGAACUAGAGAUAUACUAGAUAGCUGCUGGAGAACAUCUGCUGGCUGUGGCCCAUAACUCACUGGUUGAAUCCUGUGCAGCAAUAUCGCCAGCUCUCAGAUUGCGAGACCCAGCUACGCAAGGAGCUCAGAUCAAAUUAUGCCCAUGUAAUUUUGGGUGCACUACUCUGUUCAAAUAAAACAUUCUGUUUAAAGACAAAAUUGGGGCAUACAAAAUGGAAUCACAUGGUUUGUCCGCUCAAGGUAUAUAUCACGGGGUAAUGCUAUGGUACACACUUUACUUAGUAGGAGGUAAUAUCUCAAAUAAAUCUAAGCCGUUGAUUUUUUUUUGGAUUUUUAAUUAGUUAGUUGAUUAAAUAAUCUAAAAAUAGAAAGGGAAAUAUGUCAAAUCCCCUCACGGGAUAGAAAAGCGAGCGGGC